AUGGGCACAUUAUUUUGCUCGGCACUGAUGUGCAUGUCGCCGCCGCCAUUGCAUCCUCCAGCUCAACCCCACCAUUGCAGUCCAAUGACUCCAGUUGUAGUCAUUCGCCACUGUCGUGCGAGUCCAAGUCGUGCCACAACAGCAGGGCGACUCUUCCAGGACGAAUAUCAUCUCAACCAGCUCCAAUUUUGCGUGCAUGGGGUGGUGGGUGCUGCUCCAGCAAGCUCCUUCGUCCCCGACCCAUCCCUGAAUGCGGAUGCAGCACUGCAGGUUCAGGUUCACCCUGCAUCCCUGAUGUAG
This 300-nucleotide ribosomal RNA is filed under the name Triticum aestivum (bread wheat). Its description in RNAcentral is "partial small subunit ribosomal RNA". The record is from RNAcentral. Lineage: Eukaryota; Viridiplantae; Streptophyta; Magnoliopsida; Poales; Poaceae.